Long non-coding RNA from Hermetia illucens (black soldier fly), 520 nucleotides. RefSeq lists it as uncharacterized. The record is from RefSeq and is a predicted model, not a curated record. The transcript is spliced from 2 exons. Lineage: Eukaryota; Metazoa; Arthropoda; Insecta; Diptera; Stratiomyidae.
UCUGUCAAUCAGGUUAUUAACAGCAGUUCAUUGAAUCAGUAUAUAUCGAUAUUGCGUUAUGACUUUUAUGAUGAAUAUUAAGAAUCUGCCUUAAAUAUUGCAUAGGAAAUGGAAUUUCGUGUUCAGACUCAUUAAAAAUGCUAAUAAAAGCUUAUGGUGAUCCAGUUUUAUCAAAAACGCAGGCCUACCACUGAUACAAUGCAUUCAAAGGAGACUGUAAACUGGCUGAAGAUUUGCAUCGUUCUGGACGAUCAUCAACAGAUGAAAACAGAAAGGUCAUCGUAAACACACCUCAUUGGACAUGUUAGAUUGCAUCAAUUCUUAUUCUACAUUCAUGGAAAGUAAAAUAAAUGGUGAUGAGACAUGGGUCUAUGAAUUUGACUUGGAAGACAAAAGACCAGCCGAAAUAAAAAAAAACAUUCAUUGAAGGAACUGGAAGCCAUAUCGAAAAUCGCCUAGGAAAAAUGUGCUUUACAUUAGAUGGAGCCUGACAGAAUAAAUAUUGCGGAAUAAUUUAAUA